Non-coding RNA from Phrynosoma platyrhinos (Desert horned lizard), 74 nucleotides. Lineage: Eukaryota; Metazoa; Chordata; Lepidosauria; Squamata; Phrynosomatidae. The record is from the annotation of a GenBank genome assembly.
GCCAGUAUGGCAUAGUGGUUUUGAGUGUUGGACUAGGAUUCUGGGAAGCCAGGGUUCAAAUCCUUGCUUGGCCA